This is a long non-coding RNA of Puntigrus tetrazona (Sumatra barb), 1878 nucleotides long. RefSeq lists it as uncharacterized. The record is from RefSeq and is a predicted model, not a curated record. Lineage: Eukaryota; Metazoa; Chordata; Actinopteri; Cypriniformes; Cyprinidae. The transcript has 3 exons.
AGGGACAUACUGAAAUACAUUUUUGUAGUUAUCAGUCGUAUGCCUCGAGUGCUGCUGAUUAAGCUUUAUUUAACUCAGAGAACAUAUUUUUGUCCUGUAUUUUUUUAGUAUAGACAUAAAUUGUUGACACAGCACACAUAUCAUAUCUCAUUUACAGUAGCUGUAGAAUGAAUGGGGAUAGCAGAUCAAAUAAUUUUGUCUUGGGCGACUGAGAUGACUAACGUUACUGUUGAGAUUGAAGGUAUCUUACAUAUUCAGGCAGUUUGAGACAAAGCCUUUUACAGGAAUAUACAGCAAAGUCUCACUGAUCCAUCAAAAAGAAACAUUUAUGAUGUCUCAUUUAUGAUGGGAACCCCUUUUUCCCUCCGCAUUCUUCCCAUUCCCCGAAGUCACCAUUAGUUCCUCACAUGUUGUCAUGCGUUUCGAUGCAAUUUUGCUCAUCUUGGCUGACGUCUUAUACAGCUGCGGUUUUCUUUUAUAUCUCUCCUUAGACGUAUCAUGACCUAUUCUUCCACUCCCCGCCCCCAUCGCUCCCAAAAGACCGUCCAGCUGUUUUUUUUUUUCCAUAGAAACACACAUAUACACAAACGCUCACUCCGUAUCGUCUUUCUACACGUGUGUAAGGAGUCCGAAACUGACUUUAUGGCUCGAUACGUGCAGCUUUGCUGUGGUUAUUUUGAGAACGUUUGUGUCACGAAUUAUCUUUUUAGUGUGUUUACUUUAUCUGACUAAGCGGAUGUCAAGAGGGUGUAUUUAGUUUAUAUUGCCUUUGAUUGGGCUCCAAAUUCCCCAAGAAUCCCCCUUUGCCGCGAGGGCCUGUCUCGACAGAUAUGGCUGCGGAUGUGCUGAAAACACACACUUAAUGUAGAACAAUGGUUGCUAGGAUAGAUCUCUGUAAGUGUGCGUGUGUACGUCUUGGGUCGGGAGGUGGAAAACCUCUGCUCUGUUAUCUCUCAACAGAUGUGAGGAGCUCUUGAUGACAGGGAGAUGACGGUAAACCCAGUGCACUUUUAGCUCUGAACAAACAGCUUUAGCACCUUCCUUCUGUUUGCCUUUGCUUUUCUGAUCUCGAGGUUAAACGCAAGAGCGACCGAGAAGGAGGACGGAGAAGGUGAGGAGCCACUGACCCCAAACCACAGUGGCUUGUGGUCCUUUCAAGUGGAACUGGAGAAAGAAGCACAAAUAAAGACAUCUGUAAUGCACACCGGUGUAUAAACAGGAUGUUUUGACCUCAAACGCAAAUGCUUGGCCUCAUAACCUCUGUAAGGGAUAGUACCAGGCACCGAAAAGAAGACAGGCGAGAAAAUAAGGACAGCAGAUAUGCGCACAUGCUCUUGUUGUGAAUAUCAGUUUCAUAUUUUUCAGUUAGAUUCUUGUGGACAGAAUAUGAAUAGACAUGUCCAUGAUUCUAUGCACAGACUUGUAAAGCUUUAAAGAAAGACACGUUCGUAUAUUGCUCUAAGGAGAUUGUUGCUCAAACAGUAGAACAGUUACACAAAUAGUUCUGCUGGAUCAUCCCAAGUAUGGGCUUUUACUGGAAAAAGCAACGAGACGCAGCAGCUCACAGACCUUAUAUAACAACAGGAGCGAUCAAGAUAAUAACACACGGGAUAAGAAUCAGAAUGAAUCCAAAAAUACCACGAGGUGUCAAAAAGAGAGUUAUUAAGCAAUGAGAAUUAUGUAACUCAGACAAACCGCUAUAAUCAAUCAUGUGCAAUUUUAAAAAUGUGGGCAGUUGCCAACUAUUAUAUUUAUUUAUUUAGUAGCCUGUUAUUUCACAUUUAUUAUUUGCUAUAAUAAAUAGUAAUUUUAGAUACUUUUAUUUAACAUUUAUUCACUUACUGUUUAGGUCGUCGGUUGGUUUUAUAUACAGACGUG